Camelina sativa (false flax) is the source of this 162-nucleotide non-coding RNA. The record is from RefSeq and is a predicted model, not a curated record. Lineage: Eukaryota; Viridiplantae; Streptophyta; Magnoliopsida; Brassicales; Brassicaceae.
ACUUGUCCCAUGGAAUUCUCCUGUAUGCCUGAGCAUUUUGUUGAAGAUGCAAUGGAGUUACUGAUAUUUGCUUCAAGAAUUCCCAAAGCUUUGGAUGGUGUACCACUGGACGACUUUAUGAACUUCAUAAUUAUGUUCAUGGCAAGUCCUGAAUAUGUUAGA